Molecule: ribosomal RNA, 377 nt
Filed under: uncultured bacterium
Lineage: Bacteria
Description: bacterial SSU rRNA
Rfam family: Bacterial small subunit ribosomal RNA
Source: RNAcentral
UAAUACAGAGGCCACGAGCGUUAGGCGGAAUCACUGGGCUUAAAGCGCGUGUAGGCGGAUGUCUAAGUACUUUGUGAAAUCCCACGGCUCAACCGUGGAAAUGCUUGGUAUACUGGAUGUCUUGAGGUGCUCAGGGGCGAGCGGAACAAGUGGUGGAGCGGUGAAAUGCGUAGAUAUCACUUGGAACGCCAAUGGUGAAGACAGCUCGCUGGGGGCAUUCUGACGCUGAGACGCGAAAGCCAGGGGAUCAAACGGGAUUAGAUACCCCGGUAGUCCUGGCCCUAAACGAUGUCCACUAGGCUGUGGCACCUCUGACGGUGUCGCGGCCGAAGCAAAAGUGUUAAGUGGACCGCCUGGGAAGUACGGUCGCAAGGCUA